UAUUUAAUGAAGUAGGCUAAUGGUGGUGGGGAGGAAGGGGGUUGAUUUUCACAUCUCAGAACGGUUGAGCCUGCAAAUAUUACUGAAAUCACAUCUGGGAACAAAGCUGUGCUUUAAGUAAGUUCACCCAUGAGUGUUGCUAAGCAAUGGAGAAUAGGCAAGGGAGAGGGAGAGUGCCUGACUUUAGGAUUAGAAGGAUAGAUAGGAGAUAAAAAAAGUAAGGCUUCUACAUAGCCUUAUUUAUAUGAGCUUUCAAGUUCUUUGUUUUUAUUGCCUCUUCCAAACUAUUUGGACCACGAUUAAUCAGAUCUGGUUCAGUAUCUAUACCAAUGCAUACCCAGCAUGCAGAGAGUUCUGCUGCAUCCUGGAGCACUGACACAAGCAGUUAUGCACCAGAACUGUCAACAUCUGCCUCUGGAUUAAACAGCAAGGAAGGAAAGAAGAAGAAAUCUUUCCUAUCAUCAGCAGCAGGGGUUGCUGCAGGAAGAUGAUAAUUCCCUCCUGCUACUCUGCUGACAACAACCAAGCUUCACAGGAGGAACAAGACAUUUUAAUCAUGGAAUUGAAAAACACAGCAGUUUCUAAAGCUUCAACUCACCUUGGUUGAUUUACAUUAAUUUAGGAUCAACUGGCUUACGGUGGAAUUAUGUUAUGUACAGAAGAUAACAGAGGAGGAAGAAUUCAGUGUAAUUGCUAGUUUGCCUGUGCAUAAGAGGCAGGGUGUCUAUGUAAGUAAACACUUUCAGAGCAUCCCAGAUAAGCAGGGACCACUGCAUUCCUUAAAAGCACAGUGCAAACUUCAGGGCUCCCUAAUUCCAUCCUAAGAGUUUUGUAAAUGCUGUACUUGAAAAUACACAGAAUUAAAUGUAAAAGGUGAGAAAUAUUAACAACUGGCAAGUCAGGGUCCAAUCCGAUGUCCGUUGAAGUCAUCAGAAAGCCUGUGACAGAGGCCUAGAGGUCUUGGCUCUGGCUCUUUAAACAGAUUAUCAUUAUAACAAAGGCACCCCGUAAUGGGCUGCUAAGAUAAAUGCAAAUUUUGCAUCAAAGACAGUCAAGCACCCCCAAAAUUAAAAAUUUGAGCACACAGCAGCUUACAGGCAGCAGCUUUGGGCAUGUGGCACAACAUCUGUUACAAAAACACUAGAAAGCAGACCUGCGGCAAACUGGACCACUGCCAGCUCUCAAGAUUCCCCCCCUCCCCACCCAAUGAGGCUGUCAAGUAAAUGGACAGAUGGCAGCCGAUGCACUCGCAGGAUAGUUAGCUCAGUUAACAAUCAACUAUGCUAAAUUAUUUCAGAUUCACUCUGCACCAGGCAUUGUAUUUUCUAUUGAAUCAUUAACACUAUGUCCUAAUAGGAAUAUAGUUUGGUAUUAAGAAACCGGCAGAUACUAUAUUUUACAAGACAGUUUCUCUGGAACAAUUUGUCAAGGAACAUUAGAUCUGCCUUCGUGAAUAAAGACAGAGUCUGCCAAGUUUAUCAGGCUGGUUUGUUCAUAAUUUUAAUUCUACAGUAUUUGAAGAACAAGGAUGGAAACAAGCAUUAAGAUGCAGGUCAGUUAAUAGCACAUGCUGCUCUCACAGAUGCGCUCAGCUGAAAGAGCAGAGUAGAUGUUAACAGCACACAGGAUACCAUAUCACAGUGGCUCUUCUGCCAUACCCUGCUGUUCUGCCUGCCUGGUGUGGUACAUCGUGCUGAGCUCUCCUGGACAGGACAGCUAUCACAGGCGACCCUCUGGGUGACACGCUCGUCAUCCCAAGCAUACAGAUGUGAGGAUUCAACCCUGGAAAACUAAUAUUUCUUGGUUUUUAAUGGAUGCAAUCUGUAAACAAAGUUUGGCCCUCAUACCUCAAGGGGGCAAAUAAUUCAGUACUGAACACUAGUAAAUAGCAUACAGGUGGACUUUUGGCCCCAGCAUUACAAGAUACACCUUUUAAUUUUUCCUCUUUACGAUUAUGUCUUUAGCAGCAUGUUUGUAGACUUAGUGACAGUGUUACUCAAUUGAUUUGCUUUUCCAUAAAGUAGCAGGGCAAGAAUAAUCUUUGGGGAAAAAAAAAAAAAUGUUGUUUUAUCUUUAAAUUCUCUCCCCCCCACCACCACUUUGUUUCUGUUGCAUAUCCAUGUUAUCCAUCCACCCAAAAUCCCAUGCAGACAAACAGCUUGUCAAAGAAGUAACUACAAUCCAAGAAGUUAUUUAUCACAUAUUUGGCUCCCACAACCAUUUUAUUCAUCAUUGUUUCACCCAGUAAGUGCCCUGAGAAAAUACAGACCACCACCCCUUUUCUGCCCGCAUUAGAGAAAUCGUUUAACAGAAAGGGAAAAAAAAUAAGAAAAACAAGUGGAAAAGCAGAGGAGGAGUAGGAGAUAACCAAAAUCAGCUCUCCUGAAGGAGAUGGCAGUUGCGCCAUGGAUCCGAGUGAAGCCAGCACCUCACACUUAUCUGUUACAGCUCAGUUGUAAAGAGUAGGACUGAAGAAAAUAGAAAAGUGUAGAGCACUUCUAAUGGGCAAUCAACAAAUUAGUGCUCUACACAGUCAGGUAACUGCCUACUGCAGAACAGCAAGUUACCUGAUUGGCGCUGUGAAAGACUUGCACUUUGGACUCACACAUUGAGCUCUCCAGAAGCACCGUCCUUAUACUGCUUUCGGUGCUGAACCAAGAGAGGUCGACCUGCAUUGUGUCUUACAAUGAUCUGGAAAACUGACAGCAGUGAACCUGCCUAUGGUCAGUCUAUGAACAUUACUAGAUCUUCUGUUAGCUUUCCCUUUCUGCUACGAUACUGGUUUCUUUAGAGAUGUUUAUGCGGCAUCACCAUAGUUAUACUAGGAAAAUCAGCAGUAGCAGGCAAGAACUUAUACGCCCUGCUUUUCUAAUUCAGACAUGGAAAGGUGUCACAAGAAUUUCAGGAGAACGGGAGCAAGAACUCUGCCAUUUCACUGAGCUCCUUAGCAGCCCGCUCUGUGGGGCUUUCUUCUCUUGAAAAGGAGACUGAAUGUUGUGACUACUAGUGUGGGAUCACCAGAGCAGGGAAAUCAGAAAUGCAAUUUAAAAAAAAGUGCAGACCUGUCAAAAAUGGAGGCAAGAAAGCAACCUCAUUUUCUGGCUCAACUUUAUGAAAAUCUGAUUAGACCUUAGUGAAAUUUAAUCUUUGCCUUCCAGACCUUCUGAGAGGAAAAAAAAAAAAAAAAAAAAAAAAAAAAAAAAAAAAUCUUCUGAGGUCAUAAAGUCCUAAGAGAGGAGAGACACCACUCAACUAUAGGAAAACAGCUGAAAAAACAACUGCUUUUCUUGCACUAAUCACCUGGUAAGUCUGCAAACAACGCCAUUAAAAAGUGAAUUAUAGAAAAGCUACACAUCACUAUUUUCAACAAAGUCAAAAAUACAACUUUAUCAGAUAGAAAGUCAUAAAAUAAUAUGAAAAAGACAGGACAAAUUAGCUAUAACAAUAAUUAGGAAUACCAGACAUUCAGAAGAUAGUAUUCAUUUGUAACACUAAGACAGUCAUAGAGACAGAAAAUUUGGUUCCCAGUGGUCCUGCAGGGGUAACUUAUUUCUCUGUUUUGUUCCUACUACAGUUUUACAGCAAAAACAAACCUAGCAGAUAUGUAAUUUUUAUAUUAUCAGCCCCUCCCCAGAACAAUUCUGCUUCAAAACCACCCAUUAGGCUGGAAUUGGCAAAACCCAAGUUCCAGUGUUGUUUUUCAGCCACAGGGUCCAUAAUUCCCUCUUCUUACCUGUCUCCUGGUAAUAUCUGUCCUACGUUGUGUCAUCAGAGAAACACAAAAGAGAAUUUUUUGGCUUUCCUCAAAACUUUUUUACUUUCAUGGACAGAUAAUGCAUGCUAUCAUAUUAUUAGCCCAAAAAGAGGCAACUACAGAGCGCUGCUUUCUGGGUGUGAUUAGUCAUUUGCAGAUCAACAGAAAGCUUUCACUGGGGGGGAAGGGCUGUUUGCGGGGUUUUAUUCCCAUCUGCCAGCUCAGCAGCAGUGAUGGUACCAAAUGAAGUCUUUCUGCUCAUUCAGCAUCUGUGGUCUAAUAUUUGCCAAGAGUUUGAUGAUGACCUCUUGAUUUGUGCCUACAGUACCCAGGAUUCCCAGGUGGUCUCACAGCCAAACAUUAGCCUAGUUUAGGAUAGCUGAGCUUGCAGAAUCAGUCCGCCAUAGACUAUAUUUUGUUAAUACAGUGUAUACUAGCAAAACCUAGAACACUGAUAUGUCUUAGAUUCUUCUAAUACUCUGCUUACAGUCCAAUAAGAUUGGGUUUGGCAGCUUUGAGGAAAGCAAGCAAGCAAUUCUUAUCAAAAUACAGCAAUCUUGGAAAUAAAAAAAAGGGAGAAACAAAGAUGAACAGGUGUAAAAUUGUAUUUGUAAUUUUCUCCUCUAGUUAUCUAAUAUGCCAGCCAUCCCAUUUUUACCUUAUGUCAUGCUGGGCAAAGUGAAACAUCCAGAAAACAUAAGAGAAAUAUAAUUUUAGGGCCAAUCCUAAUUAUGGAUGUGCAGGUCUAAAAUAAUUGUAGAUGAUGUGCAUAUAAAGUAAGGUUAAAACUAGAGGAUGGUAUAUAUAUCAUCUAGGAGUUUAAUUUAAUUUUUAUAUGCAAUUUCCCCCAUAUCCUUAUUGUUGUCUAUAGAAUCCUCCACUUAAUUUCACAAUUCAUACAAACAUGCAACAAAAAAAAAAGGUUAUGUUGCAUAUGGUUACAUAGCAGAAUGUGGAAUAAAGUACACUGAUUAAAAACAUCAUAUUAUGCAAUUAAAAACACUAAUAUUGCAAUCACAAUACUUGUAAAAUGCAGCUAUGCAGAAAGCUAGAAAGUUGGAAUUAAUAUGACAGCCUGAUCUCUUACUGUACAGAUGUACAAUAAUUCUUAAUCUAUUCUUGCCUGGGCAGGUAAGAGGUUGUGUCCCAUUCAAGAUUCAUUUGAAGGAACACAUGUUCCUUGUGAGUGAUGUCAUGUCUAGUAAUAUACAUGAAUUAACUCAUAUCAGCAUUGGCCACGUUGUGUCAUGAUUUUUUUAGGUACAGGAUGUACUAAUUUUUGACUGAGAUUACUAUAGAUUGUCUAUGGAUUUUACGAUCUCUGUAAAGAAAGAUUAUGUACUUGUAUAAAGCACCAGGUAAUAUGUAAA
Long non-coding RNA from Aquila chrysaetos chrysaetos, 5124 nucleotides. RefSeq lists it as uncharacterized. The record is from RefSeq and is a predicted model, not a curated record. Lineage: Eukaryota; Metazoa; Chordata; Aves; Accipitriformes; Accipitridae. The transcript has 2 exons.